AGAACGAACGCUGGCGGCAUGCCUAACACAUGCAAGUCGAACGCUUGCCGAGGCUUCGGUUUCGGCAGGAGUGGCGCACGGGUGAGUAGCGCGUGGGAACCUGCCUUGGAGUGGGGGACAACCGAGGGAAACUUCGGCUAAUACCGCAUACGCCGGUUGUCUUGCAAGAGAUGGCCGGGAAAGAUUUAUCGCUCCGAGAGGGGCCCGCGUCGGAUUAGGUAGUUGGCGGGGUAACGGCCCACCAAGCCUGUGAUCCGUAGCUGGUCUGAGAGGAUGAUCAGCCACACUGGGACUGAGACACGGCCCAGACUCCUACGGGAGGCAGCAGUGGGGAAUAUUGGACAAUGGGCGCAAGCCUGAUCCAGCAAUGCCGCGUGAGUGAUGAAGGCCUUCGGGUUGUAAAGCUCUUUCGCCGCGACGAUGAUGACGGUAGCGGGAGAAGAAGCCCGGCUAACUUCGUGCCAGCAGCCGCGGU
RNAcentral lists this ribosomal RNA (475 nucleotides) under uncultured bacterium. RNAcentral's name for it is "SSU rRNA". It matches the Rfam family "Bacterial small subunit ribosomal RNA", at positions 26 to 521 of the family's 1533-position model. The record is from RNAcentral.